AGGAUCAUUAACUGAAAUUUUGGGAAGGGGGGAUUAGCUGCUGGCUCUUUUGUGAGGGCAUCUGUGCACACCCCUUUCCCUUAAUCUCUCCUCUACACCUGUGCAACCUCCUGUGGGCUUGGGGAAACCUGGGCCUGCAUCUUGCUUCACACAACUGUAACUUAUUUACCAGUGAAUGUUUGUUGGCUCUGAGCCAUAAAAAUAAUCAAUACAACUUUCAACAACGGAUCUCUUGGCUCACGCAUCGAUGAAGAACGCAGCGAAAUGCGAUAAGUAGUGUGAAUUGCAGAAUUCAGUGAAUCAUCGAAUCUUUGAACGCAUCUUGCGCUCCUUGGUAUUCCGAGGAGCAUGCCUGUUUGAGUGUCAUGAAAUUCUCAACCCUCUGUCUCCCUUGUGGAGGUUUGGAAUGUGGGAGUGUGCCGUGUUUCUCGUCUAGAGGAAUAGAGGCUCUCCUGAAAUGCAUCAGUGAACCCUGCUCUUCUGCCCAUGGGUUGUUGAAGCUUUGGUUUGAUAGUCCUUUGUUUGUCUACACCCCAUUGCUACAACUUGAGUGCCCACAGAAAGUCUGGGUGUACUGCAGAUUGUUACCCCCUUCUUUUGACACUUUGACCUCAAAUCAGGUAGGACUACCCGCUGAACUUAA
RNAcentral lists this ribosomal RNA (643 nucleotides) under Gliophorus irrigatus. Its description in RNAcentral is "eukaryotic LSU rRNA". The stretch from base 213 to 366 matches the Rfam family "5.8S ribosomal RNA". The record is from RNAcentral. Lineage: Eukaryota; Fungi; Basidiomycota; Agaricomycetes; Agaricales; Hygrophoraceae.